GCUGUGGCUCAAUGAUAGAGCAGCUGCUUAAAAUGCAGAUGGUCCCAGGCUCAAUUCUCCAGCAUCUCCA
This 70-nucleotide transfer RNA is filed under the name Sphaerodactylus townsendi. Its description in RNAcentral is "tRNA-Phe". Lineage: Eukaryota; Metazoa; Chordata; Lepidosauria; Squamata; Sphaerodactylidae. The record is from RNAcentral.